RNAcentral lists this microRNA (22 nucleotides) under Eisenia fetida (common brandling worm). Its description in RNAcentral is "Efe-Mir-29-P1j_3p (mature (guide))". Lineage: Eukaryota; Metazoa; Annelida; Clitellata; Crassiclitellata; Lumbricidae. The record is from RNAcentral.
UAGCACCAGUUGAAAUCAGCUU